RNAcentral lists this transfer RNA (85 nucleotides) under Gulo gulo (wolverine). The record is from RNAcentral. Lineage: Eukaryota; Metazoa; Chordata; Mammalia; Carnivora; Mustelidae.
GCCUGGGUGGCUCAGUGGAUUAAAGCUCCUGCCUUCGGCUCAGGUCAUGAUCUCAGGGUCCUGGGAUCAAGCCCCUCGUUGGGCU